Ribosomal RNA from Cavia aperea (Brazilian guinea pig), 119 nucleotides. The record is from Ensembl. NCBI's taxonomy places the organism in Eukaryota, Metazoa, Chordata, Mammalia, Rodentia, Caviidae.
GUCUACGGCCAUACCACCCUGAACGCGCCCGAUCUCGUCUGAUCUCAGAAGCUAAGCAGAAUCCGGCCUGGUUAGUACUUGGAUGAGAGACCGCCUGGGAAUACCGGGUGCUGUAGGCU